This 200-nucleotide long non-coding RNA is filed under the name Oryza brachyantha (malo sina). Its description in RNAcentral is "long non-coding RNA (OBRA_LNC000121)". Lineage: Eukaryota; Viridiplantae; Streptophyta; Magnoliopsida; Poales; Poaceae. The record is from RNAcentral.
GCGAGGGAGGGAAGGAGGGGAGGAGGCGGUGGUCGGCGGAGAGGCGCUUGCGGGUGUCGGUGAGCGCGCCCAUGGCCGCCGGCGGAAACCCUAGCCUGCGCCUGGAUCGAGCGGGCGCCGUCUCGGCCUCGGGGGGAAUUGGAGACGGAGCUCCGGUCCCGUCCCGCUCCGUCUUUUUCUCCGUUUCGUUUUCUUUCUUU